UAAUGGUAUCAUGCUCCAUAACUCUUAUUUCUUCAGAAGUAGAUGUCGGCUCACCUUCUCAUCAGCCCUAGCCUCGAUAUGAGUUUAAUUUUUGUUCUACACACCCUUCUCCAAAAGGUGUUCCUAACUCAAAACCUUACCCUAUUAAUUUCAACCCGAAAUCCAUAGAUUCUAAAACUGUUUAAUCUCUCUAUCGCCCUUUCUGCAUCAUUCACACAUUCAGUGCAGUCUUCGCGGCAAGUUGUUAACAAAGAUUGUCGGACACAUGAGAUUCCCCAACACUGGCGAAUGCUUAUUCAAAAAUUUUCGUUUCAGUGUAUUAUGCUAUUUUAAAUAUUCUUAUACUUUACUUUUUUUUUACAUUUUACCAUCCAUAUUUAAAGUUUGUAUUUCUCUCAACAACAUCAUCUUCAAAUUUAUCUGUUUAUACUCAAAUCUUUUAUUUAUAAUUUCUAAAUUUUAUAAUACCAUGUUUCAUUAAAAAAACUAAAAUUAAAACAAAAACCAAGGCUUGGAAGCUUAUGAUUGAAUAUUACAUUAUUUCACUGUGUAUUAAUGAAAAUUUUUGACACUUAUUUCUUUUCUCAUUCAAAAUUUUUAUUAUCAUUAGAAGUCGCGUAUAGAGGUCGUGUUCCCUUUAUUAAAAAAUUGUGCAUGUUAAAUUUUUUAUGUUAGAUCAGAGUCUUUUAAAAUUUUAUCAUUUCUAUUAUUAAAAACUUAUCUCUAUAUGUCAACAUGAGGUACACCGGGUACACCAUGUGCCACCGUUUAAUUAUUUGUUAGCUAUGCUAGUUUUAAUCUAAAUUUGUGAAAAGUACGGUGCCAACAGUGCAGUCUUUUGACAUUUUCCGUUUGCUAUUUUCUCAAGUUUUCUUUACACACGUUACUGAUUUCUGAAACUAACACCACGUCAAGAAUUCCCAAACUUAAAACCAAGAUUUAAACAACCAAUUUUAGUAACAAAACACUAAUUUCAGGUAACUAAUUCAGCAUUCGACCACUUACCGAACAGAAACGAUAGUCCUCAAAAACCUCUAAUUUGCCAAAAAUAAGUCAUGCGAUUCACAAACCUCACCUGACAGAUUCCCACACCAAAGAGAGUCAUCAAAACGCAAGUACCACUGACUAAAAAUUUCUCAAAUCAAAUACCCAAAAACCACCUUCCUGAAAUAAACAACCACCACACUUACCCAAAGAAGUAACAGAGAUUCGACAACGUACGAAUGGAAUAACACAAGAGGCAACCGUAUGGCAAAAUGAGAAAGAAAAAAGCAUAAAGAAUGAAAAAUUCAGAAAUGGAGCAUGAAAAAGAUGAGAGAAAAAAAUAAAUAAAAUGAAUAGUGUAGCAAGAAGUGUACGACAGAAUGUGGAGGACUUUGGGGAAAAAAAGUUUAGAAUUUCAAAAAUAAAAAUUCUUAAAAACUAACUACUUCCCCACUAAUCCCAAUAUCAUAUACCUUAUCCUUAUUAGAUUUUUCCCAGAAUUUAAAAUAAAAAAAAUUUUCAAUUUGCACACAUGAGGAUUCAAAUACAAAACCUAAAGCUAAGCUGAAGCCUUAUCACUAAACUAACAUACUCACUCUUGUCCUUAGCUGAACAAAAAUAACAUAUAACUCUAAUAUCAAAGGCAAGAGGUUGGACAAAAAUUAACAAAAAUGCAAGAGAAAGAUUUUAAAGUUUAAACCCAAAACCUCCCACACAAAAGCAUAACACUUAGCCAUUAAAUCAAAUAAACUCAUUUUGCAUAAUUUUUACAAUUUUAAUUUAAAAUCAGGACAUAACCACUCUUAAUUUCACUAACUCAAUUUCUUCCAACCAGAUUUCCAAAAUGUGACACACUUAAACUCAUAAUAUACUUUAAACACCUAAUGAUGUUGGAUCAUAGAGAUGUCGACUUAAAUCAACAUGUGGUACAUAUUAAGCUGAGGGAUUAGAGUAAAAUUUUAAUUUUCUAAAGGGUGAAAGUAAAAAUUUUAUCUAAAAAUUUGAAAAUUAUGCUAUUUCUCACAACACCCGGCAUUAAAAAUGAUCUAUGUAUUUUAUUACAUACAUAUAAGCAAAACAUAUCUAUUUGAAUAUUAAGACUUUGAUUCUCUUCUUAAGUAGUUAAUUACUAAAAAUAAAUAAAAAAGACAUUCACUUCCUAAUUGUUUGUUGGGUAUGUUUAAUGUAUUAGUUUAAUUAAGCAGGUGAUGGUCACGUUUUCAAUUAAGUUUUAAUUUAAUUGAUAUUGUUGUUAUUGUAAUAAUAAGAAAAACAUAGAUUUGAGUGUACUUAAAUGUGUUCUUUCCUUCAAUUUAAGAGUGAGGAAAGUUAUGAUUAGAAUCAAGCCAAUGUCGACAAUGUUUACAUAAGAGUAAAAUUUUUCGAGCACCAAUUCAAGUACGACUUAUUUGGUAAACUAAUUUUAAUAUUAAAUUUGAACUAAAUAAUAUUCUAAAAAAUAAAAAUACAAUAAGAAUGAAGUAAGAAAUUAUUGGAAUGUUAAUGAUGUGAGGAUGAGUCCUCUUUCAAGGUGUUGGAAUAUGUUGCUUUCAAUUAGUAGAGCUGUUAGUCUAUGUUCUUGGUUAUUUUAAUAUUGGACGAUUCUUUCGAAGUUUCGAAAGUGGGUUUGGUAAAGCAAUCAAGUUUAUUUUAUUUUAUUUGGAAGGAUGGGAACGGAGAUAAUGGGGUGUUGACGUCUUAGAAGAAAAUCUGUUUUAAGCGAAUAAAGGUGAGAUCCUUUAAUUGAGGAGCCAAGAAUUGCUCGACUGGGGAUUAAGAAUAAAAGGAGGGUUUGGAAGUGUAGGAACUUGGCAAAAAAGAAGAAGAAGAAGAAACUGGGUUUACGUGUGAUUGAUAAUGAAGAAGAGGCAAAUUACAGGGAGAAGACUUAAUAUAGAUUGUUAAGGUACUCUUCUUCUUCUUUUUCUAUUUUGAUUGUUAUUGUUUUUAACUUUUAAUUGCAAUUGCUUCUCAAUGGAAAAUCUUUUUGAAUUAUGAUAAGAGAAUAACAUGGUUAACGCAACUCGAACUCAUAUCAUAUCUGGAUGAGAGAAUAUUCUCAUUAUUAGGUUAGCAUACAGAUCCAUAGGACAAUGCUAUUAACGCAACUCAAACUCAUAUCACAGCUGGGUGGGAACCUCAUUAUUAGGCCAACAUAGAGAUUGAGUGGAUUUUCUUUUUAAAGUUAUUGAGGUGAGUUGUUUGUUAUAUUAAUGUUUUGAUUUUCUAGUUGUUGCAAGAGGGUUGUGCUUUGUAAUGGUUUCCUUACAAGGGUUCUAAGGGUUGUUUGGCUUUUGUUAUUGUAUUGUUGAUUUUAUUUGUCUGUUUUUGGUUGGUGUCAUCGUUGUUUUCUAGUGCUUCUAAGUGAAUGAAUUUAUGAUGAUUGCCUUCGUUCAUAAAAUACUUUCUAAAAAAAAAAGGAAAAUAAAAGAAAAGGGUUAUCAUGGUAAGAUAGUCUUCGUAUUUAAGAUGCAUACAUCCAAAACGUAUAGGGUGCAUCUAAAGUAAUCAAAGUCAUCACUAUAUUUAAAAUUUCAUGUAAUGAUCUGAUGAUUCACGGUGUUCAUUGUUCUAGGUGUGACUUGAAUUUAAGUUGCGCUAGUCGCGUUGGUUAUUCAGAUUUUACCUUAUUACUAUAAUUCAACAAAAAAAACACACACUUUAUUUAUUUCCUAAUAUCUCAAUAAAUUAAUUACACAGUCACAAAAUUUGCAAUACAAUAUAUCACACACAGUAAUAUUUAUUCUCUUUUUUCAUAGUUUAUUUGCUUAGUCAUGACCUCAUGCAAAUUCGAAUAACAUGACUUUUUUUCACAAAAUGAAUAUUAUGUUUGAAUCCCCAGCAAACCAUAUAUAUUUUAAAAUUAUAUAGAGUUAAAUCAAUAUUUAGUAACUGCAAUAUAAAUUUCUUUUAUCUAAAUUAGACGCUAAAUUUAAUAAUUGUUCUCAAAUUUUUAUUUUAUUGAAAUUAAACUUUGGAUUUAAUUUAAGACUUAUUCUUUAAAAUUUUGAAUGACUAACUUUUUCUUUUCACACAUAUUUUAUAGUAAUAAAAAAAUGAUGAUGAUGACACCACUAAUGUCCACCAUCGACAAAGAAAAGAAAAAUAGCAAAUCAAUGGCUUACUUCUUUCCACCUUGAUUAGAAAAUAUAUGGAAGCUUCACCUUUUGCUUUUCUUUUACGUGGAUCACAAUGGCAUGCCCAUUAAAUCUGGACUCCAUCAACUUUGUCAUCAACUAUUUCCAUUUGAUGACUUUCUUCCCCUCUUAUUCUUCGCUUUUUUUGUAAUUCUUUUGCUUCCCUUUAUCAUCAAGAGCUCGAAACAUUACCAUUGGAUCGAUUUCUGCUACUCGCACCUCUAAACAUGUAUCACCAACUUGCAAAUUGAUAAUUUCAUCAAUUCUUUGCAACUGUUCCAUAAUAAUUUUAAUACUUCCUGUAAAUAAUUAGAUCCAUCGUUGUCUACUCUAAGGAACUUCCCCCAGUGGCACGCAAUGCUUUGGAAGGUCCCUUUACUCCCAAUUUGAGUCUUCGAAAGAUUGAAACAAGUCAUUGUCCUUGAACAAAAGCAAGAUCGAGCGUCCAGAAAGCUUAAAAAUAUUCACCCCAUCAAUUCCUUCUGACAGAAGUUUUCCUUUAGAGAAUACGAGGACGACCCAUCUUCAAUCCAAGCAAUAGCACAGUGUUCCAGCCAACUAAGUUUAUUCGCAUCGACCACACCUUGCACAACAACCCGUUUUGUUUCAACUUCCUUAAUGGUAUCAUGCUCCAUAACUCUUAUUAUUUCUUCAGAAGCAGAUGUCGGCUCACCUUCUCACCAGCCCUAGCCUCGAUAUGAGUUUAAUUUUUGUUCUACACACCCUUCUCCAAAAGGUGUUCCUAACUCGAAACCUUGCCCUAUUAAUUUCAACCCGAAAUCCAUAGAUUCUAAAACUGUUUAAUCUCUCUAUCGCCCUUUCUGCAUCAGUCACGCAUUCAGUGCAGUCUUCGCGGCAAGUUGUUAACAAAGAUCGUUGGACACUUGAGAUUCCCCUUCACCGGCG
RNAcentral lists this long non-coding RNA (5027 nucleotides) under Gossypium raimondii (Peruvian cotton). RNAcentral's name for it is "long non-coding RNA (GRAI_LNC010198)". The record is from RNAcentral. Lineage: Eukaryota; Viridiplantae; Streptophyta; Magnoliopsida; Malvales; Malvaceae.